GAGUGACUUGGAAAGGAACCUGUGAGUAUAUUCAGGAUGGGAAGGAGUGUGUGAACUUUUCUGGAGUAUUAUCCUAAGCCAUUAUGCGCUAUCUUUAUGAAGCACCUGGUCUGCCAUGUGCCACUUCCCAGGCACCCUCGCUUUUCACAUUUCACCUGUUGUUCUGCACGCUGCUGCUCUUUUGUAGCAAGUCUCAUUAAGUCCUGUUGUUAGGUAAGUCCUGUUGCUAGGUAAGUCCUGUUGGUAGGUAAGUCCUGUUGGUAGGUAAGUCUUGUUGGUAGGCUUUGUGCUAACUGACCUCCUGGAGCUCCACAAACACGUAAACAUUUUACUUUACUUAUCUUUCUCUAUGCAUGGUUCCGGAUUUUAAUCCUAGCUAUAUGAAAUAAAAUUAUUUGGUAUCACCUCAUCAGACAUGACAAAAUGAAGUAUAUUUAGCCCUAAAACUGAGUUUGUUAAUGGCAGUUUUUGAAUGGUAUGUAGGAAGUUGGGUAUUAUUAGUAGCACUUCGUUAGAAGUGUUCAAUAGGUAGAAAGCUAUUUGACGGAGAUUUGUCAUACAGUAAAAUCACAUUUACUUUUGAGCUCCUUUCCACCUACUCCAUCCUAAUAAUUGCUCUCCUAUUACCUAUAACCACAUGAAUCAUGUUGUUAAAAUGGCCUUUUUAAAAAAAGCAAUAGGAAGAAUGAAAAUAAUUAAGUUUCACAUAAAAGUGCCAGAGAGAUCUUUUAUACUCAGAUAAGUAACCGCCUAGGCUGAGCAGUCUGAGGAGCAGCAGUCUGUGAGGAGCGGCAGUCUGUGAGGAGCAGCAGUC
This is a long non-coding RNA of Rattus rattus (black rat), 814 nucleotides long. RefSeq lists it as uncharacterized. Lineage: Eukaryota; Metazoa; Chordata; Mammalia; Rodentia; Muridae. The transcript has 3 exons. The record is from RefSeq and is a predicted model, not a curated record.